This 118-nucleotide ribosomal RNA is filed under the name uncultured bacterium. RNAcentral's name for it is "partial 16S ribosomal RNA". It matches the Rfam family "Bacterial small subunit ribosomal RNA", at positions 1367 to 1482 of the family's 1533-position model. The record is from RNAcentral.
UACGUUCCCGGGCCUUGUACACACCGCCCGUCAAGUCACGAAAGUCGGUAACACCCGAAGCCGGUGGCCCAACUCUUUGAGGGGGAGCCGUCGAAGGUGGGGACUGGCGAUUGGGACU